RNAcentral lists this microRNA precursor (68 nucleotides) under Nematostella vectensis (starlet sea anemone). RNAcentral's name for it is "mir-9428 microRNA precursor family". It matches the Rfam family "mir-9428 microRNA precursor family". Lineage: Eukaryota; Metazoa; Cnidaria; Anthozoa; Actiniaria; Edwardsiidae. The record is from Rfam by way of RNAcentral.
UCCGCUCAUGAACAUAGGGACACUGUUCGCGAAACUUUCGCGAACGUUGUUCGCGAAAUUCGCGAACA